GCCCUGGUAGUGUAGCUCGGCACAGUUAAUAAUGCCCGUAGGGUAUUCAUUUUACUGCGAAAACGCUUAUUUGGUUAUUAUGGCUAAAAAGGCGGCGUAAACUAUCAUGAAGCCCUGUCGAGGCUUCGACUCGGGUUCGAAUCCCGACCAGGGCG
Molecule: transfer RNA, 155 nt
Filed under: Candidatus Woesearchaeota archaeon
Lineage: Archaea; Nanobdellati; Candidatus Woesearchaeota
Description: tRNA-Asp
Source: RNAcentral